UUCAGCUCCUGGCAAACCUACCAAAUUAUAAACGUAAAAUGUUUGUUGGCAGUUUCACUCAUACAGUUUAAAAAACUGGUUUUCAAGAUUAUAGGUGGACUCUAUUCCCACAGAUUUCCUCAGGGAACGAAACCACGGCUAACAAGGCAUUAGCGCAAUGGAGAUCGGGAGCUGGGGGUGUUCCUUUCCUAAGGCUGUGAAAAAGGGUGCAAUUCAGAGUGCUGGUUCUAACCUGCAGAGCUAAACUGCUUGGAAACAAAGUAUCCAAAGGACCAUCUUCUCCCACAUGAACAUGCCCAUUCAUCAACAACUCCUUCUGAAGAGACACAGAUCUGGGAACUUGUGAUCAGACCUUGCAAAUACAAGACUGCCAAUAGGAAGCUGGUGAAGAAAAAAAAAGGGCGAGUCUGUAGGCUGUUCUGAUUUGUUGUGGGAAGUUACUGAUAUAUUGUGUGAUUUUUUUGUUGUUGUUGUUCAAGACUGAAGUUUCUGGCUGGCGUUUCAGUUUCUGCCUAGUGAGAGUGGCUGGAGCUUGCUGCAUAGUUGAGUCACUAAGUAAUAGUGUGUAAUUAGUAAUUCACAGGUCACUGCAGCAAAGAAGCCAUAAAACUGUGAUACCCACGA
This is a long non-coding RNA of Hemicordylus capensis (graceful crag lizard), 624 nucleotides long. RefSeq lists it as uncharacterized. Lineage: Eukaryota; Metazoa; Chordata; Lepidosauria; Squamata; Cordylidae. The transcript is spliced from 2 exons. The record is from RefSeq and is a predicted model, not a curated record.